GGCAGCACGAGAGCUUGCUCUUGGUGGCGAGUGGCGAACGGGUGAGCUAAUAUAUCGGAACGUAUCCAAUAAUGGGGGAUAACUAAUCGAAAGGUUGGCUAAUACCGCAUACGCCCUACGGGGGAAAGCAGGGGAUCUUCGGACCUUGCGUUAAUGGAGCGGCUGAUAUCUGAUUAGCUAGUAGGUGAGGUAAAGGCUCACCUAGGCUUCGAUCAGUAGCUGGUCUGAGAGGACAGACCAGCCACACUGGAACUGAGACACGGUCCAGACUCCUAC
RNAcentral lists this ribosomal RNA (276 nucleotides) under uncultured beta proteobacterium. RNAcentral's name for it is "partial 16S ribosomal RNA". It matches the Rfam family "Bacterial small subunit ribosomal RNA", at positions 68 to 342 of the family's 1533-position model. The record is from RNAcentral. Lineage: Bacteria; Pseudomonadati; Pseudomonadota; Betaproteobacteria.